CAUGUCACUGUUGGAGCCCUCAGACUGAAA
Molecule: non-coding RNA, 30 nt
Filed under: Cricetulus griseus (Chinese hamster)
Lineage: Eukaryota; Metazoa; Chordata; Mammalia; Rodentia; Cricetidae
Source: RNAcentral